UAUGCCCCACUGCCCCAAUAAAUGACCAUAAUUUGGGAAAUCAUCAAAGAAGUAAACAUCACCCUUAACAACAUAAGCGAAACCAUUGCUGAUAAUCUGCAGAUCAUGCCCUCCCAUCACCCACAAUAUAUUUAUACACCCACUAAAACCCAUUGCCGACCACCGCACAAUGCAUCAGAAAUGGCUUCAAGUACUUCCCAAGGAGGCAAGCUUUCAUCAAUAUGGAUACACCCAACUCAAUUUCAGCCUCCAACACCUCUUCAAAAACUCAAACAUAGACGGUAAAUUAUCCUUACAAAUCAAUACCGAUGACGCAUGAACCUCCUUCUAUAAUAUGCUCCAACUGAAACCUUCGCCACACAUCUUGUCAUUUUUAAGAAAUUGCUAGCCGUCAAAAAUGAGAAAAUUGAGAAAUCGCGUGGGGGAGGAUUUGCACCUUUACACAAACAUACACACACACA
Molecule: long non-coding RNA, 461 nt
Filed under: Olea europaea (common olive)
Lineage: Eukaryota; Viridiplantae; Streptophyta; Magnoliopsida; Lamiales; Oleaceae
Description: long non-coding RNA (OEUR_LNC000376)
Source: RNAcentral